This is a long non-coding RNA of Bombus impatiens (common eastern bumble bee), 727 nucleotides long. RefSeq lists it as uncharacterized. The transcript is spliced from 3 exons. Lineage: Eukaryota; Metazoa; Arthropoda; Insecta; Hymenoptera; Apidae. The record is from RefSeq and is a predicted model, not a curated record.
GUAGUAGUAGUAGUAGUAGUAGUAGUUGUAGUAGUAGUAGUAGUAGUUAUAGUAGUAGUAGUAGUAGUAGUAAUAGUAGUAGUAGUAGUAGUAAUAGACGUAGCAAUAGAAAUAGCAGUAAUGGUAAUAGUAAUGGUAGUAAUAAUAAUAAUAAUCAUUACCGUCUUCGUAAUCAUAAUAAUUAUAGUAGUAGUAGUAGCGGCAUUAGCAGCAGUAAUAAUAAUAAUCGUAAUAAUAAUAAUGGUAAUAGUGCUAAUGAUAGUAAUAGUAAUAAGGGUAAUGAUAAUUAGUAAUCGAAUAAUAGUAAUGACGAUAAUGACAAUUGCAAAAAUAACAGCGACUAUAUUGAUUGCGUUAAAAACAUUAUCAACUAGUAGUAAUGCGUUUCGUAGCGAACGUAUAUCGUAUGUAACAAAAAUAGAGAAAUUUGGAGAACGAUGAAAGGAAAGGCGACUGAACGAUCGCUUGCCUUUCGUAGGACUUCGAAAAGAAGGAAAAGAGAAAACGAACAAAAUACGAAGGUACGAAAGAUGAUGCGUUUUCGCGCGGAGCGAAAGAAGACCGCGCAACGGUUUAACGGAGGUUCGCCUUCGUCCACGUACUUGAUCGGUCAUUCGCAAAUUCGAAGAAGGAAAGGAAUCGUUUCGUGGGCGCGCGAACUUUCCGCAGUCCGUCGCCUUCGAUCGUCCGCGUUUUAUCUGCGAGGUAUGGCUCGAGUUAAAAAAAA